This 711-nucleotide unclassified non-coding RNA is filed under the name Hevea brasiliensis (rubber tree). Lineage: Eukaryota; Viridiplantae; Streptophyta; Magnoliopsida; Malpighiales; Euphorbiaceae. The record is from RNAcentral.
GCAACCAUAUAUAUUCAUUAUAAGAGACAACUUAGCUUCUGUUGUAUAGACUAUACAGGGAUUAUGUGCGGCACCACCCCAUUAUUUCGAAGGGGGGUUUUUCAACCAACGAAUUUAUGAUCAUUAAGACUAUACAACUCAGAAAGACACCCGUUCCCUUUGGGAUCAACUUAUACACAACCACUAUACAAGUAACAACACAUUUAAGGACCACUACCAAGGUUGCUUUUGCUUUUUCUUCCUAAAUCAUCUCUGAGCAACAAGAACCAUUUACCCACUUCGCCAAGAAUCUUUCCAUUUUUGCAAAUGAGCGAAACCAGAAACCUUCUUUUUCCCAAGUGAUCAGCACUUGAGGAAGACGAGGAAAUUUACGGGGUAGAAUUUACUGAGAUUUCCUGAGGCAAGCGGGAGUUCAGCUGAUCUACAUAGGCAGGAAUGACAAGUCGUUGCAAUGGUGUUAAAGCCACAGUUAGCUGUGCAAAUGAUGGACGCAAGUUUGGAUCGGUUUGCCAACAUUCCCAUAUUAUUCUUGCUACUAUAGGAUCAAGUUCCUUGGGAAUUUCAAGGCGUUUAUUCUGGAAGCCAACAGCUCCCACCACUUGCAUAGGAUUCAUUCCACUCCAAGGUAAUCUUAAGGUAGCAAGUUCCCAUAGAAUGACACCAAAACUGUAUAUGUCACACUUCUCAUUCGAAGGUUCAUUGCGGAGAACU